GACGAACGCUGGCGGCGUGCUUAACACAUGCAAGUCGAACGAAGAGCGAUGGAAGCUUGCUUCUAUCAAUCUUAGUGGCGAACGGGUGAGUAACGCGUAAUCAACCUGCCCUUCAGAGGGGGACAACAGUUGGAAACGACUGCUAAUACCGCAUACGAUCUAAUCUCGGCAUCGAGGAUAGAUGAAAGGUGGCCUCUACAUGUAAGCUAUCACUGAAGGAGGGGAUUGCGUCUGAUUAGCUAGUUGGAGGGGUAACGGCCCACCAAGGCGAUGAUCAGUAGCCGGUCUGAGAGGAUGAACGGCCACAUUGGGACUGAGACACGGCCCAGACUCCUACGGGAGGCAGCAGUGGGGAAUCUUCCGCAAUGGACGAAAGUCUGACGGAGCAACGCCGCGUGAGUGAUGACGGCCUUCGGGUUGUAAAGCUCUGUUAAUCGGGACGAAAGGCCUUCUUGCGAAUAGUUAGAAGGAUUUGACGGUACCGGAAUAGAA
This 492-nucleotide ribosomal RNA is filed under the name Veillonella parvula. Its description in RNAcentral is "bacterial SSU rRNA". It matches the Rfam family "Bacterial small subunit ribosomal RNA", at positions 28 to 488 of the family's 1533-position model. Lineage: Bacteria; Bacillati; Bacillota; Negativicutes; Veillonellales; Veillonellaceae. The record is from RNAcentral.